Non-coding RNA from Pteropus alecto (black flying fox), 45 nucleotides. Lineage: Eukaryota; Metazoa; Chordata; Mammalia; Chiroptera; Pteropodidae. The record is from Rfam.
CCUCUGGUUUUCUUCAAAACCAAAAUUAAAAAAAAAAAAAGAAAG